RNAcentral lists this ribosomal RNA (253 nucleotides) under uncultured bacterium. RNAcentral describes it as "partial 16S ribosomal RNA". It matches the Rfam family "Bacterial small subunit ribosomal RNA", at positions 524 to 776 of the family's 1533-position model. The record is from RNAcentral.
UACGUAGGAGACGAGCGUUGUCCGGAGUUACUGGGCGUAAAGGGUGCGCAGGUGGCGGCGCGCGUGGGGGGUGAAAUCGCCCGGCUUAACUGGGCGGGGGCCUUCCAGACGGCGUGGCUUGAGCAGCGGAGGGGGACGUGGAAUUCCGGGUGGAGCGGUGAAAUGCGUAGAUAUCUGGAAGAACACCAAUGGCGAAGGCAAUGUUCUGGCUCGUUUCUGACGCUGAGGCGCGAAAGCCAGGGGAGCGAACGGG